Molecule: unclassified non-coding RNA, 279 nt
Filed under: Hevea brasiliensis (rubber tree)
Lineage: Eukaryota; Viridiplantae; Streptophyta; Magnoliopsida; Malpighiales; Euphorbiaceae
Source: RNAcentral
GGAGGGGUCUCACUGACAGGUGGGCCCGGAAAAAGCGGGGUCCCCGGCGAUGCGACGCGCCACCGGCGAGCGGCAGCGGCGGCGGCGGGGAGUUCAGGCGUAGAGGACCUGAGCGUUGCACGGGGCGAGGCCGGCGAACUCGGCGGGGCCCUUGACGACCUCCCAGUCCACCCUCUCGUCGUCGCCGCCGUGGAUGGCCGGAGAAGGGGAGACCGUGCCUAUGGCGACGUCGAGGCCGGCGCCCACCACGUAUAUCCGCCGCCUGCCGCCGCUGCCGAC